This 343-nucleotide unclassified non-coding RNA is filed under the name Zea mays. RNAcentral's name for it is "misc RNA Zm00001eb342920". The record is from RNAcentral. Lineage: Eukaryota; Viridiplantae; Streptophyta; Magnoliopsida; Poales; Poaceae.
CUCGUACGGUACAUGGUGGGAGGCACAGCGACGCCCGCUCCUGCCCCCUGAGUUCCUGAACCUGGUCUUUCGCCGGCACAGCGGUGGACCGGCGGGCGGUCGGCCGAUGUCCGGCUCGGGGGAGAUCGUUCUUCGGCUUCGCGCGGUCCCCACCGGCGGCCCCAUCCGCACCAAGGUCCCAGGUCUGCGUCUGCGCUUCCCUUGCCGUUCCUCCCGCCGCGCGCCGCUCACCAACCUGCUCGCCCCCGCGUUUGCUUCCGGUCAGCUGAUGCCGCAUGCUUUUCGGCAGCAGUUGCUUCUCCUCGCUGAAAAAAUACUUACAUAUUUUGUUUUUGAGUUUCCA